Molecule: ribosomal RNA, 479 nt
Filed under: uncultured anaerobic ammonium-oxidizing bacterium
Lineage: Bacteria
Description: bacterial SSU rRNA
Rfam family: Bacterial small subunit ribosomal RNA
Source: RNAcentral
UUUCGCAAUGCCCGAAAGGGUGACGAAGCGACGCCGCGUGGGUGAGGAAGGCCUUCGGGUUGUAAAGCCCUGUCAGGAGUUAUGAAAUGUAAGUGCGCUAAUAUCGUGCUUAUUUGACAAAGGCUCCAAAGGAAGCCACGGCUAACUCUGUGCCAGCAGCCGCGGUAAUACAGAGGUGGCGAGCGUUGUUCGGAAUUAUUGGGCGUAAAGAGCACGUAGGUGGGUUUGCAAGUCAGAUGUGAAAGCCUUCUGUUCAACGGAAGAAUUGCAUCUGAAACUGCUAAUCUUGAGUAUAGGAGGGGAGAAUGGAACUUCUGGUGGAGCGGUGAAAUGCGUUGAUAUCAGAAGGAACGCCGGCGGCGAAAGCGAUUCUCUGGCCUAUUACUGACACUCAGUGUGCGAAAGCUAGGGGAGCAAACGGGAUUAGAUACCCCGGUAGUCCUAGCCGUAAACGAUGGGCACUAAGUAGAGGGGUUUUA